GUUGCUUGAAAUGCAGGUGCAGCUGGACUUUCCUCUGAGCUAAAAGCAUAUUUAUUUAAUCCCGUCAAACGGAUUAUUACUUUUGCUGCAGCUAACAUAAAGGAGAAUCGUUCUUGUGCUGACUGAUGCAGGAUUCACAGGUUGCUUCGGCGACUUGUAAACUCGAUCUCAAAUCAAGUAAGACUACCCGCUGAACUUAA
RNAcentral lists this unclassified non-coding RNA (200 nucleotides) under Mortierellales sp. RNAcentral describes it as "partial contains internal transcribed spacer 2 and large subunit ribosomal RNA". The record is from RNAcentral. RNAcentral also lists the same sequence under 1 other name. Lineage: Eukaryota; Fungi; Mortierellomycota.